GGUUUGUUCCAGUCAGAAGUGUUUGUGGAAAGCGAGCAACCUGUAUCUUUCCUGGAUGCAGGAGACUACAGCGAAGACCCGAGGCAUACUCUGCUUAGGGCCACUGAAGUGCCAGAGGGAAUCUGAAGGACACUGAGCAAGCCCAACUCACCCAGUUCUGAUGGACAGAUAGCCUUUUGAGAGGUAUCAGAAGCUGUUGGAGAGGUUUCCUCGUGCAGCUGCCAGUCUGAGUCACUAGCUGUGCCAGAGAGGAGGGUGGCCUUCAGAGUCGUGAAGCCUGGGCCAGGGUACCUGGACACCCCAUCCCCCCCCGACGCGCACUGGAGAUGGCAGCUGAGGACAGUAGGGUGGGGUGCCUGCUUCCUCCAGUUGGUGCUGACUGAGCUUGGGCAAGAUGGCAUCUUCCAGGGUCACCAAGAAACGGAACCCACCCUCCAGUUUUCUGGGUGUACUAUUUGCCCAGGGCACUGCCUGCUGUUGCCGGUUUCACUCAGGUCGGGCCAGCCAAGGCUGAACUGGGGACUCCUGCAAUGGCAGAAGAGCAUCCCUGCCUGGCAGAACGCUGCCAUGGUGGGCAACGCUCCCGAGCCUCUUGGUGGUCACUGACCCUUUGAUAAUGUGAUGAAAGCUGUGGACCCUCUUCCUAGAAAAAUGCAAAGACACGCAGAACUCUGAAUAUACUUUCAGGGGUCCAGGGAUCUCCUGAGAGCCAAUCCUUGCCCCCCAGAUUACAAAACUUCCUCACUUGGACUUAAACACAGGGAGAAUAACUGACUAAACCCAAGAUCAUUGGCCUCUUCCCGCUCCCUCAUCCCCCUUCUUUCCCAGGAUGCCAGGGGAGCCACCUGAAUAAGCAGAGAGUGACAGGACACUGAAGGACACUGAAGUGCCAGCUGAGUGGGGCUCCAGUUAGAGGAGUCUGGGUUCCUCCACCCUCUGGGGUGGUGAAAACGACUCCCUGGGAAGGGGUGGGAAGCAGAGUGGGGGAAGCAUCCCCGUGUUGAGGAGAGGAUCAGGGAGGAAGAGUCUCCACCGUCCCUCUCCCGCUCCUGCUCCCCUUCCUUCCUCUUCCUUCCUCUCCCCAUCCUCCCUCUUCUCUUUCCCUUCCUCUCUCUGCCCUCCCCAUCUUCCCCUGCCUCCCUCUCCCUCUUCCCCUCCCAAUCCUUUCUCCCUCCUUGCCUCCCUCCCUGUGUCUCUAUCUCUCCCUCUGUCUCUCUGUCUCUCUGGUGCUGCUUACAUGUACCAGGCACGUUCGUCUCUCGUGAAUCCUCUGAGUAGUGGAGUCCCACUUUCUGGGUGUACAUCCUGACUACACCACUCCUGGCUGUGUGGCCCUUGGCCAGGAGCUUAGACUCUCCCUGCCUCAGCUUCCUCAUCUGUAAACUGGAUGUGAUGCUAGUGCCAACUUCAUAGGGUUAUGGACCUUAAAUGAACCGAACUAUGUAAAGAGCUUAGAAUGGUGCCUCACCCACAGAAAGCACUUUACACAUUUUAGCUACAGUUAUUAUUACAACAACCUGGUUAUUAUCCACAUUUUACAAGUGAGGAAACAGGCCCAGAGAGGUUAACUUCUUGCCCAAAGUCAUUCAGCUAAUAGAUGAUCAAGUUGGAAUUCAAGCUAGGUCUGUCUCACUCCAAAGCCUUUAUUAAUCACAGAGAGUUCCAGAAGCUUUGUGUGUUAAUCGCCCUAACUCAUCUGACACAGGAGCCCCGGACAGGUGUUGCUGUGUGAAUGGACUUCCACUGUGAUGCCAAGGGCCAUGGUGUCAUUGGUGACAUUCAGUACAGGUCUCCUGGUGUAGCUGGCUGCCCUAUACAUAAGGCAAACAGAAAGAUCUAGAAAUCAGUGCUUUCCGACUUUUCACAUCUGCUGAUUGAAAAAAAUUGUAAUCAUCUUUUAUAAAAAACAACUUUGAAUUAAGAAACAAUUCUCUUUUUAGAUUCACCGUUUUUCUAAUUUGAUUAGAAGUGUAACAUGAAUCCUAUAAAGAGUUAGACAUUACAGAAAUAAAGUGCUGCCUCCCAGAGAGAA
Molecule: non-coding RNA, 2032 nt
Organism: Equus caballus (horse)
Lineage: Eukaryota; Metazoa; Chordata; Mammalia; Perissodactyla; Equidae
Source: RefSeq, a predicted model, not a curated record